This 564-nucleotide ribosomal RNA is filed under the name Triticum aestivum (bread wheat). RNAcentral describes it as "partial small subunit ribosomal RNA". The record is from RNAcentral. Lineage: Eukaryota; Viridiplantae; Streptophyta; Magnoliopsida; Poales; Poaceae.
AUGGGUAUCGACCUCGUCGCCGGCGGCCGUAACAAGAGGACCAAGCGCACCGCGCCAAAGUCGGACGAUGUCUACCUCAAGCUUCUGGUGAAGCUCUACCGCUUCCUGGUGAGGAGGACCAAGAGCCAGUUCAAUGCUGUGAUCCUGAAGCGCCUCUUCAUGAGCAAGACCAACCGCCCGCCGCUCUCGCUUCGUCGCCUCGUCAAGUUCAUGGACGGCAAGGACAACCAAAUCGCUGUGAUCGUGGGUACCAUAACCGACGACAAGAGAGUUUACGAGGUGCCGGCGAUCAAGGUGGCAGCGCUCAGGUUCACUGAGACGGCAAGGGCCCGCAUUGUGAAUGCCGGUGGAGAAUGCCUCACCUUUGACCAGCUGGCCCUUCGUGCUCCUCUUGGCCAGUACACGGUUCUCCUGAGGGGCCCUAAGAACGCCCGUGAGGCAGUGAGGCACUUCGGUAAGGCUCCUGGUGUGCCGCACAGCCAUACCAAGCCUUAUGUCCGCUCGAAGGGAAGGAAGUUUGAGAAGGCAAGAGGAAGGAGGAACAGCAGAGGCUUCAAGGUCUAG